AUGGAGGGAGAAGUGCAGGAGCUACAGGAUCUGGUGGCUCAGUUGAGAGUGGAGAAUGAGAGGCUGAGGCAGGAACAACCUUCAGUAAGUUCCCUAGUGAGUAAUACCACACCUGGCAAUGAUGCGGCAGCAAGGCCUAUUUUGCCCGGUGCUGGUGCCCGAUCAGCGGAUAGGUUUGUUUUUGUCCCUAGAGACCGGAAAUGUCCAAAAUUUAGUGGAGCGUCAGGUAUCCUUUUGGAGUUCUCCCUUGCCCUGAUGGGCCUCCAGGAGAAAGUUAAGCAGCAGUCGUCCUCUGCCAUGCCAAAUGCGGAAAUAUUAUUUCACGACCAAUUUGUUGAAUUUGUUUUAGAUCCGACAUUGCGUCGUGAACUUAAACAAUUGGUGCGCCGGCAGCCAUUAUGCACCUUCUUAGAUGUCCGGGGUGAGGCGAUACGUUGGGAACGAGAAGGGUCUGUCCGUACUUCCGUGCAUCAGUUAGUUUCAUCUUGCCCUCAUCUCAUUGCCCUUUUUGGUGGUGUUUCGAUCUCCUGUUUGGUGGACACUGGAUCGAUGGUGUCCACCAUAACAGAUAGUUGUUUCCGUGAGUACAGCGAACAGUGGGGACAGGGAGGGAUGGAGACAUGUCACUGGUUACAGCUUCAUGCCGCUAAUGGCCUUGCGAUACCAUACGUCGGGUAUAUCGAGUUGGAUGUGGAGCUGUGCGGCAGGCGGGUGCCAAACUGCGGGGUCCUGGUGGUCAGGGAUCCUCCGGGUGGGCCGUGCACUAGAGUCCCGGGAGUUUUAGGGAUGAAUAUUCUACGGCGCUGUUACCAGGAGCUCUUUGGGCAGCAUGGCCCCGCCUUAUUCAGCCUGCCGUCGGUGUCACAGGCCCCAAGUAUUAUGGUUCAGGCCCUUCAGCAUUGUCAGCAAGCUAGUACCCAGCCCAGUGAGAGCAGUGUGGGCAAGGUUAGAGUACGUGGCCGUCGUGCAUGUCGUAUUCCUGGUGGUACUAUAAAGUUAGUGGCCGCAACAUGUUCCAAGCAGUUUGCAGAUACCACUGUGCUUUUCGAACCCUUGGGGGAGGGUUUGCCUUCUGGAUUUUUGGCCUCUCCUGCAUUGAUAAAAGUUAUCCAUGGUACGAUUUCCGUACCUGUGGUGAAUUUAGGGACAUUGGAUCUGUUGCUUUACCCUCGUAGCAUUUUAGGUAGUCUGAAUAGUGUCUUAGUGGUCAGCUUGCCCACUGAGGUGGUAGAGGUACAGUCUGUUGCUGCCACUGACGUCCAGGGCUCCCAGGUGCUCUCCGCUAGUGGUCAGGCUCUCAGGUAA
RNAcentral lists this long non-coding RNA (1305 nucleotides) under Carassius auratus (goldfish). Its description in RNAcentral is "lncRNA (ENSCARG00000012439.1)". Lineage: Eukaryota; Metazoa; Chordata; Actinopteri; Cypriniformes; Cyprinidae. The record is from RNAcentral.